AUGAGCGUUGCUCAUGGCUUGAUCACCGCCAUUGCGCUUAAAAUGUAGGAAUCAGAGUUGUAUUCUUAUGCUGCUAAUUUGGACAGUUCAUGAGGCUAAAGGAAAACCAUAUGGGUGAAAUGUGCAAGUAUCUUAGCAUAAUUCCUGGAUUGCAAUGCUUUGAGUUGCAUUGCUUGCAGCGCCGUCAGACAUCACUAAUAGGAAUUUUAAAACUGCUGGAAAAUGUGGGUGUCGAUCCUCCCGCUUGUCCUAUCUAAGGUUCUCUGCUGCCCUUCCUAAAAUUAGUGCUAUGAGGAACCUCUGAAACAAAAGGUAUAUAUGCAAUUGGCGUGGGAUGACUUCUUGCUGCUCUUAAUUUGAAGAGUGAAUUUUAAUGUUUCGAUAUCAGUUUCUCAUGUUUGACUUCAAGACCAUUCUUGCUCUAAUUUAGUUCUUGUUUAAUUCUACAGGAAUUUUUCUCCCCCUAUGGAUUUUCUGUCAAGAAAAUGUGUUUGUAUAUGUUGAGCAGAUUGGGAUUUAUUUUAUGCUUCAGUUGUAAUGAAUAAACCAGUUCAGAAAUGCA
Long non-coding RNA from Paramormyrops kingsleyae, 562 nucleotides. RefSeq lists it as uncharacterized. The record is from RefSeq and is a predicted model, not a curated record. NCBI's taxonomy places the organism in Eukaryota, Metazoa, Chordata, Actinopteri, Osteoglossiformes, Mormyridae.